AGAAAGGAGGAGAGAGGAAACCUAAAACCUAAAAAAUGCAGCGAUUAGUGAAAGCUCCUUAACCUAACUGGUUUCAUUAGGAAAAUGCUACAGAGGAUGAGAGGUGUCACAGCUGAAGAUACUCAGGCUACAGGAGGCGCUACAGUAGCUAGCACACAAGAGAGGAGGAGAAGGAGCCAGGGUGAGGGAGUUGGAUCCUAGUGUUACCGCUGGCAUCAUGUUACACCUACAGGUUUGAGCUGAAUCAGAGGAAGACAGAGCACUUCUAUCUUAUCACGAUCACUUUGGAGAGAUGUAUGAAACUCAAGGACAUUAAAGAUUUUUCCAGAGCGAUACAAGGGAGUAAAUGUCAUUUGGUCUUAUCUUUGAAAAAUCAUAUAAAUGAGAACUGAUUGAUUGCUCCAUAUGUGUGGCAGACUAUUAAAAUAC
Long non-coding RNA from Seriola dumerili (greater amberjack), 429 nucleotides. RefSeq lists it as uncharacterized. Lineage: Eukaryota; Metazoa; Chordata; Actinopteri; Carangiformes; Carangidae. The transcript is spliced from 3 exons. The record is from RefSeq and is a predicted model, not a curated record.